GAACAAUGCAGUGGGGAGCAGAGCAGUGGAGAGAACUAAGGAGACUGAAUGAGUAGAGCAGUGGAAAGGAUGCAGUGUCAGGCCUCUGUUUUUAAGAGAGAGAAGAGAAAUGUGGAGAUGUAUGAAGCGGAGCCAUCAGUGUCAUCAGUGUGAUUCUCCUUAAUCAAGGGGCACAGCAGCUGCUGAAAAGUCCGACCACCUCUUCCUGUCCUGGCAUCUGAAGGACACCCGAGGGAGCAAGACGUCAGCGCCACCACAGCCGUCCGCCGCCGCCACCUUCAUCAACACUAACAUCAUCA
Long non-coding RNA from Epinephelus fuscoguttatus (brown-marbled grouper), 299 nucleotides. RefSeq lists it as uncharacterized. The transcript is spliced from 3 exons. NCBI's taxonomy places the organism in Eukaryota, Metazoa, Chordata, Actinopteri, Perciformes, Serranidae. The record is from RefSeq and is a predicted model, not a curated record.